Molecule: ribosomal RNA, 539 nt
Filed under: Fusarium sp. CBRF14
Lineage: Eukaryota; Fungi; Ascomycota; Sordariomycetes; Hypocreales; Nectriaceae
Description: eukaryotic LSU rRNA
Rfam family: 5.8S ribosomal RNA (bases 172-325)
Source: RNAcentral
GGUGACCAGCGGAGGGAUCAUUACCGAGUUUACAACUCCCAAACCCCUGUGAACAUACCAAUUGUUGCCUCGGCGGAUCAGCCCGCUCCCGGUAAAACGGGACGGCCCGCCAGAGGACCCCUAAACUCUGUUUCUAUAUGUAACUUCUGAGUAAAACCAUAAAUAAAUCAAAACUUUCAACAACGGAUCUCUUGGUUCUGGCAUCGAUGAAGAACGCAGCAAAAUGCGAUAAGUAAUGUGAAUUGCAGAAUUCAGUGAAUCAUCGAAUCUUUGAACGCACAUUGCGCCCGCCAGUAUUCUGGCGGGCAUGCCUGUUCGAGCGUCAUUUCAACCCUCAAGCCCAGCUUGGUGUUGGGACUCGCGAGUCAAAUCGCGUUCCCCAAAUUGAUUGGCGGUCACGUCGAGCUUCCAUAGCGUAGUAGUAAAACCCUCGUUACUGGUAAUCGUCGCGGCCACGCCGUUAAACCCCAACUUCUGAAUGUUGACCUCGGAUCAGGUAGGAAUACCCGCUGAACUUAAGCAUAUCAUACCCGGAGGAA